AUUGAACGCUGGCGGCAGGCCUAACACAUGCAAGUCGAGCGGAGCGGCGGACGGGCGAGUAAUGACUAGGAAGCUGCCUGGCAGUGGGGGAUAACGUCCGGUAACGGGCGCUAAUAUCGCAUACUAUCAGAUGAGCCUAGGUCGGAUUAGCUAGUUGGUGGGGGAAAGGCAUACCAAGGCGACGAUCCGUAACUGGUCUGAGAGGCUGAUCAGUCACACUGGAACUGAGACACGGUCCAGACUCCUACGGGAGGCAGCAGUGGGGAAUAUUGGACAAUGGGCGAAAGCCUGAUCCAGCCAUGCCGCGUGUGUGAAGAAGGUCUUCGGAUUGUAAAGCACUUUAAGUUGGGAGGCGUUACCAACAGAAUAAGCACCGGCUAACUUCGUGCCAGCAGCCGCGGUAAUUC
RNAcentral lists this ribosomal RNA (407 nucleotides) under uncultured bacterium. RNAcentral's name for it is "partial 16S ribosomal RNA". It matches the Rfam family "Bacterial small subunit ribosomal RNA", at positions 30 to 526 of the family's 1533-position model. The record is from RNAcentral.